AUGGUUUUGCCUAUUGGAGCCAAAAUGAAAGUUCGCAGCCUUUGCCGGAUUUCUAGUGAUUUCUUUUACGUAGAGCCUUCUAUCAUAGAAGAUCAAAGUGAGAUGAAUACUAAUCGUGCAUCAGUAAUAGAAUGGCUGGAAGAAGGUAAUAAAGGAAAGAUCCUAGUCACAAGUUUCAAGAGAGACAACCUGUUUCUUGCUGCUAUAGUUGUGGAUGAUGAAUGUAAGGUGCUAGAUCAAUUGAAGUUAAUUCAUAAGAUAGUCUUUAGUAAGCUGAACAAGAAAAUGAAGAAUCCGCUAGAGACAGAUGAUUUUGUUCCCUUGAUUGGAGACUUAGUUGGAGUGUACGUAGAACAUGAGAGCAUUUGGACUAGAGGCAUCAUUUGGUCUAUCUCUCCCAACUUUGUUCGUUGUUCUCUUAUCGAUCUUGGGUGUGUAGUAUCUGUGCAUCCAAAACAAGUAAGACCUUUGGAAAAGAAGUGUGAAUCUUAUCCCUUUUUUGGGGUUAGUUGUGAAGUGAAAAAAAUUGAUUCAGAAAAGAAGCUUGAGCUCUAUCAAAAAUCCGUGAACACAAAGUAUGAUUUUACUGUUUUGAAAGAAGGGCCUGAUGCAGUUGUUUGUAGAUUGUCGGAUAAGGAUCAAGAAAUUUGCACGAUUGAAAUGAAAGAAUGGGAACCCACUUCUGAAGAAAUCGGUCUGAAAGCUGUUGCGUUGAAAAACAAGAGCCUAGUCCAUAUCACACAAUUUUAUUCGUCAUCAUUUUUGCACGUAACUCCAAUUAGUCAGGCCAAUUUCGUGAUCGAUCAAAAACUCAUGAAGCUCAUUCAGUCUUCUCAACCUCUAAAAAACCCUCCCAGAUUUGGGCAGCUUGUAGCUUGCAAGUGGAGUAAAGAUAAUUGCUAUCAUCGUGCGCAAGUAUUUGAACCAUUUAAAGAUUCUGUUUACCGCAUUUUCUUCGUUGACUUUGGCACGCAAGAAUUAACCUCACUAGAAAAUGUUUAUGAACUUGACAAUGAGUUGCUUAGUUAUCCAUGUCUUGCAGUUAAAGUCUCCUUAAAAGGUGUUGAAGAUGCUGACAUUCCCAACUGUGAAUCUGUAAAUUACCUAAAUUCACUGGGCUUCAAAGAAGAGCCUUUAAAAAUAGUGUUUGAGGACAAUGACUUGUCUAAUGCAGAAUUUUAUGACUCCUAUGAUGAAUCGAUUAAUGAGAAAAUGAAACAACACUUGAAAGUGGAAGAUUUAGCAGAAAAUGAAAUAAUUUAUGAUGCCCAUAUAAAUUUUGGUAAACUUGAGAUCGGUAGUGAGGUUGAGCUUGCCCUCUUAGGGAAACUUGACGGGAUUUACUUCAUGUUCAAGCCAAAUACAGAUAUAGCGCAGUUUGUUUUUGGGACUCAUCAAAAGUUAAUUAAUGACUAUUGUGAAGGGUUGAACUCCAAUGGAUACACACCAUAUAAAGGAGAAGUCGUUUUUGUCAAUAUCAACACCCGAGAAAUGCCCGAGAGGUGCUGGUGUCGUGCCAUAGUCGGAAAAAUGAGGGAAUAUGGUUCAUUCGAGGUAAUAUUACUCGAUUUUGGUGGUCAAGGCGAUAUUUAG
RNAcentral lists this long non-coding RNA (1593 nucleotides) under Bemisia tabaci. RNAcentral's name for it is "lncRNA ENSSSA1NGG010018". Lineage: Eukaryota; Metazoa; Arthropoda; Insecta; Hemiptera; Aleyrodidae. The record is from RNAcentral.